ACAAGUUCAACUCUGAAGAAGCCACAUUAGUUCAGAUCAGUUGAGUUCUUUUUGGAGAUGAUUAAUACAGGAGAGAAAGUGAAAGGAAGAUUCUUUUAUUUUUGUUCUUAGUUUUCUGAAUUGUGAUGUAUAGAUAGAGGUAAACAAAACCAGCAGAAUGCAGAAGAUGUGAGCAAAGGGGGUUAAAAGGGAGAUUCUUUCUCCUUUUCUGGGUUCUCUUUUUUCAGUUUUUCAGGAUCCAAUGCCAUUCCAAAUUGAACUUUGACAGUAUUUUGCAUCUUUUUACCCAGGCUGAACCAGCAAUCUCAGAUUCUUUCUGGGGAAAGAAAAAGAUUCCUUCCUUGGCAUCAAUCUCAGUAAGAGUUUUGAGAAAGAUAAAGGAGGAGAUUAGAGAAGGUUCUUUGACUACUCUUUCAGAUCAUGCAUUGCAUAUCCUCUAAUCUGAUUGGUUAGGAUGAUUAGGACAACAUAAAAGAAACAUCUAGAAUCAAUAUAGGGACCUCCAGUGCUUUUAGUGUAACGAUUUAAACAAACCGGGUAAAGGUGGGUGUCGAAGUUAGUUGAUCCAAAUCUCCUAUAUUAAAGAGGCCAGAUCAAUGGAGGAGUAGUCGUCGUUUGUAUUUUCUUUGAACUUCC
RNAcentral lists this long non-coding RNA (636 nucleotides) under Linum usitatissimum (flax). RNAcentral describes it as "long non-coding RNA (LUSI_LNC003583)". Lineage: Eukaryota; Viridiplantae; Streptophyta; Magnoliopsida; Malpighiales; Linaceae. The record is from RNAcentral.